This 575-nucleotide long non-coding RNA is filed under the name Homo sapiens (human). Its description in RNAcentral is "non-protein coding lnc-RIPK3-2:1". Lineage: Eukaryota; Metazoa; Chordata; Mammalia; Primates; Hominidae. The record is from RNAcentral.
CUUCAAGGGCAGGUGGGAUUUGGGAGACAGAGAGGUCAUUAGAGGCAAAAGAAAGAGCCCAGUGAAAUGCCCAAGGUCAAAGACAUGUAUAGAGCAUGCAGUGUGGCUCAUGGUCUACCUCACUGCAGGGAAAACACCCACCAUGCCCACCUCCCCCUGUGCUCUCCCAACAGGAGAAGACCCUGGCUUCCUUCAGCACCCAGUGGAGCCUGGAUCGGUGAGGAGGCCUCAAAGUCUUUGCCAGUGGGGCUGUCUGGAUGACCCCCUCCAUCCUCCCUGGGGGUCUGCUCCUGCUUUGCCCAGACGCUCUGAGGGUCUCUGUGGUGAUGGACUUGGCUCUCACUGUGCAGGAGCCGUACCCCCCGGGGACUAGAUGAUGAACUGGACACCGGGGAUGCCAAGUUCUUCCAGGUCAUUGAGCAGCUCAACUCGCAGAAACAGUGGAAGCAGUCGAAGGACUUCAACCCACUGACACUGUACUUCAGAGAGAAGGAGAUGGAGAAAGAGUACCGACUCUCUGCAAUCCCCGCCUUCAAAUACUAUGAAGCCUGCACCUUCCUGGUUUUUCUCUCCAA